RNAcentral lists this ribosomal RNA (472 nucleotides) under uncultured bacterium. RNAcentral's name for it is "bacterial SSU rRNA". It matches the Rfam family "Bacterial small subunit ribosomal RNA", at positions 29 to 506 of the family's 1533-position model. The record is from RNAcentral.
AUGAACGCUGGCGGCGUGCCUAAUACAUGCAAGUCGAGCGGUAAGGCUUCCACUCUGUACUUAAAAUUUUUGAGUAUGGUGUGGAAGUACACGAGCGGCGGACGGCUGAGUAACGCGUAGGAAUGUACCCCAGAGUGAGGAAUAGCCCGCCGAAAGGCGGAUUAAUACCGCAUAAUCUCUUCGGAGCAAAGCAGUAAUGCGCUUUGGGAACGGCCUGCGUAUGAUUAGCUUGUUGGUGAGGUAAAAGCUCACCAAGGCGACGAUCAUUAGCUGGUCUGAGAGGAUGAUCAGCCAGACUGGGACUGAGACACGGCCCAGACUCCUACGGGAGGCAGCAGUAGGGAAUUUUCCACAAUGGGCGAAAGCCUGAUGGAGCAACGCCGCGUGCAGGAUGAAGGCCUUCGGGUUGUAAACUGCUUUUCUGAUUGAAGAUUUUGACGGUAAAUCAGGAAUAAGGAUCGGCUAACUCCGU